RNAcentral lists this unclassified non-coding RNA (520 nucleotides) under uncultured Glomus. Its description in RNAcentral is "SSU rRNA". It matches the Rfam family "Eukaryotic small subunit ribosomal RNA", at positions 569 to 1090 of the family's 1831-position model. Lineage: Eukaryota; Fungi; Glomeromycota; Glomeromycetes; Glomerales; Glomeraceae. The record is from RNAcentral.
AGCAGCCGCGGUAAUUCCAGCUCCAAUAGCGUAUAUUAAAGUUGUUGCAGUUAAAAAGCUCGUAGUUGAAUUUCGGGGUUAGUAGGUUGGUCAUGCCUCUGGUAUGUACUGGUCUCACUGAUUCCUCCUUCCUGAUGAACCUUAAUGCCAUUAAUUUGGUGUUUUGGGGAAUUUGGACUGUUACUUUGAAAAAAUUAGAGUGUUUAAAGCAAGCUAACGCUUGAAUACAUUAGCAUGGAAUAAUGAAAUAGGACGUUCGAUCCUAUUUUGUUGGUUUCUAGGAUUGACGUAAUGAUUAAUAGGGAUAGUUGGGGGCAUUAGUAUUCAAUUGUCAGAGGUGAAAUUCUUGGAUUUAUUGAAGACUAACUACUGCGAAAGCAUUUGCCAAGGAUGUUUUCAUUAAUCAAGAACGAAAGUUAGGGGAUCGAAGACGAUCAGAUACCGUCGUAGUCGUAACCAUAAACUAUGCCGACUAGGGAUCGGAUGAUGUUAAUUUUUUAAUGACUCAUUCGGCGCCUUA